GGGAAACUUACCAAGGCCAAACAGAGGUGGGAUUGACAGAUUGAGAGCUCUUUCUUGAUUCUUUGGGUGGUGGUGCAUGGCCGUUCUUAGUUGGUGGAGUGAUUUGUCUGGCUUAAUUUGACUCAACGCGGGAAAUCUCACCAGGCCCGGACACUGGAAGGAGAUUGAGCAAUAA
This 175-nucleotide ribosomal RNA is filed under the name uncultured eukaryote. Its description in RNAcentral is "partial 18S ribosomal RNA". It matches the Rfam family "Eukaryotic small subunit ribosomal RNA", at positions 1208 to 1456 of the family's 1831-position model. The record is from RNAcentral.